GUGGGGAAUAUUGCACAAUGGGGGAAACCCUGAUGCAGCGACGCCGCGUGAGUGAAGAAGUAUUUCGGUAUGUAAAGCUCUAUCAGCAGGGAAGAGAUUGACGGUACCUGACUAAGAAGCCCCGGCUAACUACGUGCCAGCAGCCGCGGUAAUACGUAGGGGGCAAGCGUUAUCCGGAUUUACUGGGUGUAAAGGGAGCGUAGACGGUAAAGCAAGUCUGAAGUGAAAGCCCGCGGCUCAACUGCGGGACUGCUUUGGAAACUGUUUAACUGGAGUGCUGGAGAGGUAAGCGGAAUUCCUAGUGUAGCGGUGAAAUGCGUAGAUAUUAGGAGGAACACCAGUGGCGAAGGCGGCUUACUGGACAGUAACUGACGUUGAGGCUCGAAAGCGUGGGGAGCAAACAGGAUUAGAAACCCUAGUAGUCC
RNAcentral lists this ribosomal RNA (425 nucleotides) under uncultured bacterium. RNAcentral describes it as "bacterial SSU rRNA". It matches the Rfam family "Bacterial small subunit ribosomal RNA", at positions 354 to 796 of the family's 1533-position model. The record is from RNAcentral.